GAGAGAGAGAGGGAGAGAGAGGGAGAGAGGGAGGAAGAGAAGAGAGAGAGAGGGGAGGGAGAGAGAUAGAGAGAGAGGGGAGGAAGAGAGGAGAAAGAGAGGUGAGGAGGGGAGGAGAAAGAGAGACAGCAGCUGGAGAGAGACUGGAGAGAGACUGGAGAGAGACUGGAGAGAGACUGGAGAGAGACUGGAGAGAGACAGCAGCUGGAGAAAGACUGGAGAGAGACUGGAGAGAGACUGGAGAGAGACUGGAGAAAGACUGGAGAGAGACUGGAGAGAGACUGGAGAGAGACUGGAGAGAGACUGGAGAGAGACAGCAGCUGGAGAGAGACUGGAGAGAGACUGGAGAGAGACUGGAGAGAGACUGGAGAGAGACUGGAGAGAGACAGCAGCUGGAGAGAGACUGGAGAAAGACUGGAGAGAGACUGGAGAGAGACUGGAGAGAGACUGGAGAGAGACAGGAGAGAGACUGGAGAGAGACUGGAGAGAGACAGGAGAGAGACUGGAGAGAGACUGGAGAGAGACUGGAGAGAGACUGGAGAGAGACUGGAGAGAGACAGCAGCUGGAGAGAGACUGGAGAAAGACUGGAGAGAGACUGGAGAAAGACUGGAGAGAGACUGGAGAAAGACUGGAGAGAGACUGGAGAAAGACUGGAGAGAGACUGGAGAGAGACUGGAGAGAGACUGGAGAGAGACUGGAGAGAGACUGGAGAGAGACAGAGGAAAAAAUGCCAUCAGGGAGACAUGAGAGGACCAGAGAGCAGAGCAACACUGAUGCCACUCACACCACACAUUCCACUAGGACCUGUGUGUGUGUGUGUGUGUGUGUGUGUGUGUGUGUGUGUGUGUGUGUGUGUGUGUGUGUGUGUGUGUGUGUGUGUGUGUGCCCUGUAUUCUCUGUAGCAGUAAGAGAUGACUGUGUUAGUGAGUUAGUGAACAACACACCUGCUGUACCAAACACUGUAAAGGACAACACGGUAACAGCAGUCUGUCAGGACAACACGGUAACAGCAGUCUGUAAAGGACAACACGGUAACAGCAGUCUGUCAGGACAACACGGUAACAGCAGUCUGUAAAGGACAACACGGUAACAGCAGUCUGUCAGGACAACACGGUAACAGCAGUCUGUCAGGACAACACGGUAACAGCAGUCUGUCAGGACAACACGGUAACAGCAGUCUGUUCUGAUGCUCUGCUUGUGUCUAGAACACAUAUAAAUUCCUUUGCGUUUGUACUGAGUGUCUGAAUAUAUGUUUGUCAGUACUAUCCUACGUAUACUAGUAAACACAAACAGGAUAUUGAAUAUGACUGUUGUAUGAAGACUUUGUAGUGAGGACCUGCAGGGAGGGUAAUAUACUACCACAGAGCAAACUGGCCUAUUAUAUUCUGAUACAUCUCUUCAUUUUUAGAAAGAUGGACUGAUUGACUCGACAGCCCUUCACAACAUCGAAGGUUUUCAGAUUUCUAAUUAUUAAACCUAUAAACAUAUCUGUGGUUUAAUUAUUGGUUUGUUUCUGAAAGUUAGCCGGCUAAACUCAUUGAUCCUGCUUUGUAGUGUUACCCACCCCUCCCUCUGAUAUCUGUCGUGAUGGUUAAAACCAUGUGAUUUAAACACAUAUCUUUAUUUCUUUUAACUGUAAUGACAUAUGUUUCAAUAAAGUUAUUUCACCUUU
This 1673-nucleotide long non-coding RNA is filed under the name Salmo salar (Atlantic salmon). Its description in RNAcentral is "lncRNA (ENSSSAG00000083255.1)". Lineage: Eukaryota; Metazoa; Chordata; Actinopteri; Salmoniformes; Salmonidae. The record is from RNAcentral.